GAAAAUUCUCACGACACCAACCGUGUGAAAAAGAUGAUGUAAUUAACAGCCAGUGUUUACUUUUUUAUUUGGGGCUAUGGCAGUCAAUUGAAAACAGUAUUACUGAUUUUCUUCUCAACUUACCAUCACAUACUUUGAAUAUGGGGCUAUGACAAUCAAUUGCAAAUUAGUCUGACAUAAUGUAUCUUAUCUCACCACCGCUACUCAGGGGCGUUGUCAACAGUGCGCACCUCAUCUCUGCUGUAACAUCCAAACUGGAUUGAUAUUUGGUUAUAAUGCAGAUAAAAGUACUGAUUCCAGCUUUAUUGCGCUUUGAAAACAACUAGAAACUCUGAAAAAAUAUGGGACUUUCCACACCUGAUUUACAAGGAUGCUGUCAAGGAGAAGGUGAACUGUCAGCAAGCAGGCGGGGAGCGGGAAAGACAGAGGCAGAGAGAGAGAGGACCCCAAAUUACAGGAAGAGCAAUGGAAAGACAAAAAGGGAGAGAACGUGAGUGCGCACACAAGAGAGAACAGAGCGCACUUUACUCCACUCACAUAUGGCGGGGCUUUGCUUUUGUAGCCCUGCAAAAAUAAACACAGGAGAGGCUACAGCUGGGGGGGAGAGGAGAGGGGCCAGCGAGCCGCUUGCUUACCGAGCCCCCCGUUCGCUAAACAAUGGAUCAGAUGAAGCAGGCCCCUUUUGCAGUGCUAGACACGGCCCAGAAAUGCCUUUCUUCUUUACGAUUAGAUCUCCCUACUCCAAAUAUUUACUCUACAGAAACGCACAAUUUUCCAUUGCAUUUGUUCUGUUUGAAAGGAGACCUCCCUC
RNAcentral lists this long non-coding RNA (811 nucleotides) under Salmo salar (Atlantic salmon). Its description in RNAcentral is "lncRNA (ENSSSAG00000115463.1)". Lineage: Eukaryota; Metazoa; Chordata; Actinopteri; Salmoniformes; Salmonidae. The record is from RNAcentral.